GAUUGACCUCGGAUCAGGUAGGGAUACCCGCUGAACUUAA
This 40-nucleotide ribosomal RNA is filed under the name Evernia esorediosa. Its description in RNAcentral is "partial 28S ribosomal RNA". RNAcentral also lists the same sequence under 13 other names. The record is from RNAcentral. Lineage: Eukaryota; Fungi; Ascomycota; Lecanoromycetes; Lecanorales; Parmeliaceae.